Non-coding RNA from Amborella trichopoda, 1063 nucleotides. The record is from RefSeq and is a predicted model, not a curated record. Lineage: Eukaryota; Viridiplantae; Streptophyta; Magnoliopsida; Amborellales; Amborellaceae.
UUCAAGCUGAAGAGAUUUUUUGAAACUUCAAGAAAAAGAAGAAGAAAAAAAACGACACUUCUGUAAUCAUUGCUCUAUAUUUUUUUACUUUGACUAGAUCUGGGUACUGUUGUUUUUUCUUUUUUCCUUUUUUUUCUUUCUUUUUUUCGAAUGAAAGUAAGGGAAUUUUGAGAGGUACAUGAAACAUGGUUAUCAAAUUUCCUAUUAUUGGAGCUAUUUGUUGAUUCAAGGCCUUACUGUAGUGUAAACUCCAUUUUUGCUGACUAAAAACAACACGAGUAUUGACGUUGUACUGGUUAAAAUCUGUUAAAACAUGCGAGGAACAACUGUUAAAUGUGCCUUUCGAGCUGUGCGCUGAUGACAGAUUGAUGGAGUACAUAGUAUCUGGGCCUGGCUAUUUUCUUGGCCGCGUUUUUCUAAAUUGAAAGGAUAAUAUCUCUCUGAGAUGAUGCCAAUUCUAUUUCUAGUCUCACUGGGGAACCUGGGACCCUAAUUUCUGAAAUUCUUCACUAUGACCCUGAAGCUUUCAGUUGCUCCUGUCCAGGUUUCAUUAAGAAGCAGAGUCAUCAUAACUUGCCAUCUGAAGGGAAAACCUUGGAGGAAAAGGUUAAAACUGCUGUCCUGGAAGAAAGAUUUUCAAAAGGGCCUCAGCACCAAUCAGAUGGGCUUAUUAAUGUAUGCAAUUCCUGUUUGACGAUACUUUAUGCUUGAUGUUUUGUUCUCAGUUGCCCUGUUUCUCUGCAUAAUUGGAGUCAAAGCUUGAUUUAGGCAAAAUUUUCAGUCAUGUAAUUCAUGGAUGUUAUAUCUUCAUGUUUUACUUUUCUUAAAAACCUAAUUAGAUAAAGGAAAAAAAUUACUCUUGUUGAAGGGUAUUUGGUUUCCGUUCCAUGCAUUUCUGCAGGAAGUUCAUGAGAGCAUCGUAAUUUCAUUAACUAUAAUUUAUGCGACGUGUUCUCUACAUAAAUGUUGCUACACUAUAAACAGUCGAUUGCCAAUUUUUAGCAUGUGUACUAAUAAAUUUCAGACCAAUGUCAAUGACCUCAAUGAUUGGGUUUUGCCUUCA